This 253-nucleotide ribosomal RNA is filed under the name uncultured bacterium. RNAcentral's name for it is "partial 16S ribosomal RNA". It matches the Rfam family "Bacterial small subunit ribosomal RNA", at positions 524 to 776 of the family's 1533-position model. The record is from RNAcentral.
UACGUAGGGGGCAAGCGUUGUCCGGAAUCAUUGGGCGUAAAGAGCGUGUAGGCGGCCCGAUAAGUCCGCCGUGAAAGUCCAGGGCUCAACCCUGGAAUGCCGGUGGAAACUGUCGGGCUCGAGUCCGGAAGAGGCGAGUGGAAUUCUCGGUGUAGCGGUGAAAUGCGUAGAUAUCGAGAGGAACACCUGCGGCGAAGGCGGGUAGCUGGGCCGACACUGACGCUGAUGCGCGAAAGCCAGGGGAGCGAACGGG